UCCGGUUAGUACGCUCUCACGUUGUUUAGCUUGCUACGUUAGCAUCCCGGCGGCGGCCACUUGCUGACAGUGACGAGCGCACACCUGGGAUGAGCGGCUAAUGAGGAGCCGCCUCCCCCGCCUUCUCCCCCGGCGCGCCCUUCUCCGGCAGCGGAGGGAAGGCCUCCAGGUAGGUGGGGAUGUAUGCCUCAUCCUCCGGGACGCAGCCUGCACCGCAGAGGCCGCCGCGGUGCUCUGCAAAGCUCUCGGGGGUCAACAGCGCCACUGAGCUCAUGGUUCAAGACUUCUUCCGCUAUUCCACUGCAACAAAUGAGCACAAUCAAAGUUCAAGUUUGUCGCUGACGUUCCAAGAAGUCGGAC
Syngnathus typhle (broad-nosed pipefish) is the source of this 360-nucleotide long non-coding RNA. RefSeq lists it as uncharacterized. Lineage: Eukaryota; Metazoa; Chordata; Actinopteri; Syngnathiformes; Syngnathidae. The transcript is spliced from 3 exons. The record is from RefSeq and is a predicted model, not a curated record.